Molecule: ribosomal RNA, 447 nt
Filed under: uncultured bacterium
Lineage: Bacteria
Description: partial 16S ribosomal RNA
Rfam family: Bacterial small subunit ribosomal RNA
Source: RNAcentral
AGCGAACGCUGGCGGCAGGCUUAACACAUGCAAGUCGAACGGUCCUUCGGGAUAGUGGCGGACGGGUGAGUAACACGUGGGAACGUACCCUUAGGUUCGGAACAACACAGGGAAACUUGUGCUAAUACCGGAUAAGCCCUUCGGGGGAAAGAUUUAUCGCCUUUGGAGCGGCCCGCGUCUGAUUAGCUUGUUGGUGAGGUAAUGGCUCACCAAGGCUACGAUCAGUAGCUGGUCUGAGAGGAUGGCCAGCCACACUGGGACUGAGACACGGCCCAGACUCCUACGGGAGGCAGCAGUGGGGAAUCUUGCGCAAUGGGCGAAAGCCUGACGCAGCCAUGCCGCGUGGAUGAUGAAGGUCUUAGGAUUGUAAAAUCCUUUCACCGGGGACGAUAAUGACGGUACCCGGAGAAGAAGCCCCGGCUAACUUCGUGCCAGCCGCCGCCGUAA